CUUUGAAUCACUGCUUAGCACCAGGACGGGAGGUCACCAUAGCAACUUCUUAAGGCAAGCACAGUGCUAUUGGUCCCAUUUCAUGGACGUGGCAGCUUUGGCUUCUUGGGACCCAAGGCCUCUAUUUUGGACCUUUGUCGGAGCUACAGUAAGGUGCAAGCCCAUCAGAGUACUACGGAGAAGUGGUUUUCUCACACAAUGAAAAGGACUCCACGUACAGUAUACACCGCAAAGUACAUGUCCCACAAAGAUUGGUCAUCAAAAAGUGACAGUCUCAAUCCUGAGACACACUUCUGUUACAAAGCAACUCAUGAACAGAAAAUGUAUAUCCAUUGGGAGCAAAACUAAAUCACCCAGAAUCACCCAGAAUUAACUGAAACAUUGCCACUCUCGUUCCAACUACUGAGGUUAGCCGCAGAUAUCAGCUUCUCGCAAUGGGAAAUCAUACAGAGCUUUGUCAUUAGGAGGAAGCUGUGGCUGCAACUCUGGGAGCUCCAAAGCCAGCAGGGGCCACCCCACUCUGCCCCAACAGGAGCUGCAGGCUUAGUGGAGGAAUUCAGCCAUGAGCCAGCAGCGAGGGAGCGGAGAGAAGACCUACCAUGAAUAGACUCUCCACCUGCCUGUCAUCCCCUGCCAGUGCCUCCCAGGGGCUGAGCCCAGUUGGAAGCCAGAGGGCAAGGGGAGCACUGGACAUGUCAUCCUUAGAGGUCAGCAGAAGAGUGUGGGGAAUGGAUGGAGAAGGCCAGAUGCAGAGGGACCAACACAUUCCCAUAACAUUAUGAUGCUUAUCCAUCCAUGCUGUCCUUUUGCGCCCUUUAAACUCUCGAAAGAAGGGGUUGUAAAUCUCAAAUGAAUCAGACCAUAAAUGUGUAUGUCAAUGACACAAGCACAAGUGAAGGCGCAGACAAAAUAGAGGCAUGUACCACCCAUCUA
Molecule: long non-coding RNA, 933 nt
Organism: Lagenorhynchus albirostris (white-beaked dolphin)
Lineage: Eukaryota; Metazoa; Chordata; Mammalia; Artiodactyla; Delphinidae
Exons: 4
Source: RefSeq, a predicted model, not a curated record